GAGAAAAUAUUUCCCACAUUUAAAAAUGUAUACAAAGGUAAGGUAGUGAAAGUGUUACCAUCGAUACCACAACCACUACUAAACAACGUCUAACAUCUUUUCAGGUCUAACAUCCUGGGUCUAUGAUUCUCUAUCUGUAACACAGCACAGAACUGAUGCACUGGAUGAUGAAUUGGGGAACCAUUCAAUGUCAAACAAGGCAGAACAGCAGACUGGAGAGUGACCUUUAGUUAACUAGAAAAUGACAGCAGCUAGGCCAUGCCUUGAACAAUCAAGCUUAUGAAUGUUUUUAGUCUGCAUUGAAUACGUACUGAUCUACCUAGGAACCUGAUGCAAUAGGAGAAGAGACAAACUGCUAAAUAUGAAAGAGGAUAAAAGAACUGAGAACUACAUAAUGAAUUGCAGAGAGGAGUAUGGUGGAGAAUUAUAGUGUGCCUUGCAUCCGGAGACUAAAUCCCAGUGAAAACUUCUGAGGAGACAUGGCAAAUACUAGAGGGAGGAAGAAGUCAUGAACAACUUGCUGGAUGAGAAAAGAAGAAGGACUGUGGAGAGGAGUCAAGGUCUGCAGUCAGAGCUGGAAAAACAGCAAAGAAUAUAAAGUCCAAAGAGCAAGGCAAGAGAGAAAUGAGACACUGAAUAUUAAGGUCAUAUCAAGAAAGUCAGUAACAGGUUGGAAUCACAUGUGAAGAAGACUGAUGGGAAAAGUGCAGAUAUAAGGCUUGUGAG
This 726-nucleotide long non-coding RNA is filed under the name Macaca mulatta (Rhesus monkey). Its description in RNAcentral is "lncRNA (ENSMMUG00000056219.1)". The record is from RNAcentral. Lineage: Eukaryota; Metazoa; Chordata; Mammalia; Primates; Cercopithecidae.